AUCGUAAAUAAGCUGAAGCAGUAACUAACUGCAGUGUUGGCAGGGGAGAAGGCUGGGGCUAUCUUUCUGAUUAGAACAACCUCUGUCUCACACGUCUGAUUUCUUUACCAAUGCUGGCCGAGAGGCAGUGAAGGAGAGCCGUGCCCUGACUCAUCUGAGUGCUCCAAAAUCCCUUCGGAUCAGCCUCACGUCAAAUGGACCCUCAGCUGCCAGUGGGAGAAAGGUUGUCAUUUUUUAUCCUUUCAAGGUAAGAGAGGACAACUUACGUGUCUGUGCCACUUAUAGACACGUUUGACUGUUGCAGCCGAAAAGCUCCCGCACUGCGGUGCCGGAGGCAUCAGGCACUGCGCCGAGCAGCCGUGGCGAUGACGGUGGCAACGGCAGAGCUGACGCAGGACGGGCGCCCACCGCGGCCGGCCGUCAUCGGGCAGGCACAGGCGCCAUCGUACGGCCGGGAAGGGACGGGCUCUGGAGGCUGAGCUUGGCGCGGUACCUGGAAACGGCUGUGAGAAAGGGAGGGCAGCCGCUGGGAGGCCUGCAGGUGCCCAGCCCCGGCCAGGCAGCGAGAUGCCUUUCAGAUGCUUUUGGGUUUUGUAUGUAGCGGAACAAAACCGGCAGAGACGUUACUGAGGAAUUCACGCUUCUUCGGAGCGCGGUGUGAGCCGUGCCUGCGCUCGGCACUGCCCACGGACACGUGGAACUCUGAGAAAGAGUUACUGACGCGGCGCUGCAGCUCUGUGCCGUUGCACAAGAGGCCUCCGUGCGGUACUGCAGGGCUCUGUUGCGUCACACCGCCUCCUUACAUCAUCCUGAAGUAACAGCGCCUGACGCCACGCCUGCAGUCAGCGGCGGGCCUGGAGCAGUGCUCGUGUUUAACUGGAGCCACUGCACACUCCUGUAGGGGAGGUCAAACAUCAGGGCUGCGCGGAAGUUGCACAUAAUGCAACAAAAUAAAAUGGUGUCCUCAUUUAUUUGUUUUGGCCGGAUCUAAGCCUGACUGCGCUUUCAAGCCUUGACGCCUUUCUCAGUGCCUUAUAAUUACUUCUUCAAAGAACAGACCCCAUAAAGCAUCGCGCGCUGCAUGGUAACUGUUAGUCACGGCCUGAACCACUGAUUGAGCACCUGGGGAAAGGACCCAGUCAGCCCUGCAGGUGCAGGUGAAGGCAAUUCAGCUGUGUGACCAGAAGGGGUGGAGCCUGGCUGCGCCUCUCUUAGGCCUCAUUUAAGGGCUGACUGCCACUGGAUCUCUGGUUGGAGAUCCUGCCUUUGUGGAGUCCUUUCUGGGAGCUCAGAUCUUUGGAGAUGGCUGAGCACAUCUACUUUCCUGUGAAAUACCAUCCUAUCCGAGCUGGUCCCUUUGUUGUUACGUUUUUGUAUCACCCUUCCACCAUGCUAAUUUUUCUGGUUGUA
Molecule: long non-coding RNA, 1410 nt
Filed under: Gallus gallus (chicken)
Lineage: Eukaryota; Metazoa; Chordata; Aves; Galliformes; Phasianidae
Description: long non-coding RNA NONGGAT001016
Source: RNAcentral